ACCCGCGUACAUGCCACCGGGGCAUCCCGGAGGCAGGAAAGGCUUCGGCCGGACAGGGAUGGGCAUGCGGCGCAUUAGGCAGUAGGCGGGGUAACGGCCCACCUAACCGACGAUGCGUAGGGGUUCUGAGAGGAAGGUCCCCCACACUGGUACUGAGACACGGACCAGACUCCUACGGGAGGCAGCAGUGAGGAAUAUUGGUCAAUGGUCGGGAGACUGAACCAGCCAAGCCGCGUGAGGGAUGAAGGCACAGAGUAUCGUAAACCUCUUUUGUCAGGGAACAAAGGCGGGGACGUGUCCCCGGAUGAGUGUACCUGAAGAAAAAGCAUCGGCUAACUCCGUGCCUGCAGCCGCGGUAAUACGGAGGAUGCGAGCGUUAUCCGGAUUUAUUGGGUUUAAAGGGUGCGCAGGCGGUCUGUUAAGUCAGCGGUCAAAGCCCGGGGCUCAACCCCGGUCCGCCGUUGAAACUGGCAGUCUCGAGUUGGAGAGAAGUAUGCGGAAUGCGCGGUGUAGCGGUGAAAUGCAUAGAUAUCGCGCAGAACUCCGAUUGCGAAGGCAGCAUGCCGGCUCCACACUGACGCUGAGGCACGAAAGCGUGGGUAUCGAACAGGAUUAGAUACCCUGGUAGUCCACGCAGUAAACGGU
This 645-nucleotide ribosomal RNA is filed under the name uncultured bacterium. RNAcentral describes it as "bacterial SSU rRNA". It matches the Rfam family "Bacterial small subunit ribosomal RNA", at positions 167 to 810 of the family's 1533-position model. The record is from RNAcentral.